CUGGCUGAGACGCAGGAGACAUGAGUUCUACUCUCAUCCCUUCCACUGAUUUGGUGGGUAAUAUCAUUGGAACAGCUUCAACAGGAAAGACUGAGGAAGCCCCACAUCAGAUUAUCCCACAGCUCAGUGAUUAGAGCUGUUAGAUUCCUGAGAAAUUGUGGAUCCUUGUUCAAAUACCUGCUCCUCUUCAGGAUGGGAGACUUGAACUGGGGAGCUUCCACAGCUGUGAUUGACGAGCCCUCAGAUGCCGCUUUACUGUACAUGGCAGCCACGCUGGAGCCGAGGCACAUCUGGAGUGGAGUAAGCUUACUAAGAAACAGGGGCCAGCUUUAGCUGGAGCCAGUGGAACUGAGAACAGUCGAUGAAAGGCAGCCCUCCCGCCUCCCCCUUCCCCUUCCCCUCAGUCCCUGGGUAGAUUUCCUAAUGUAAACAGAGUUGGUGGGGGAAGAACACAGUAACUCUUUGCUGAAUGUUUGUCAUUUAAUGUUCUUUAUCU
Long non-coding RNA from Mauremys reevesii (Reeves's turtle), 496 nucleotides. RefSeq lists it as uncharacterized. The transcript has 3 exons. The record is from RefSeq and is a predicted model, not a curated record. NCBI's taxonomy places the organism in Eukaryota, Metazoa, Chordata, Testudines, Geoemydidae.